GGGUGCACAUGGGCAGAAUGUUGAGCUGCUACAUGCUGCUGGGGAAUUAAUACUUUGCUCUUCAUUACCAGAGAGGAAAAGACACGUGCCAAUAAAGGGACGUCGGAUCCCGAGUCCAGAGGAA
This is a long non-coding RNA of Brienomyrus brachyistius, 124 nucleotides long. RefSeq lists it as uncharacterized. NCBI's taxonomy places the organism in Eukaryota, Metazoa, Chordata, Actinopteri, Osteoglossiformes, Mormyridae. The record is from RefSeq and is a predicted model, not a curated record. The transcript is spliced from 2 exons.